Molecule: ribosomal RNA, 164 nt
Filed under: Anvillea garcinii subsp. radiata
Lineage: Eukaryota; Viridiplantae; Streptophyta; Magnoliopsida; Asterales; Asteraceae
Description: 5.8S ribosomal RNA
Rfam family: 5.8S ribosomal RNA
About the family: 5.8S ribosomal RNA (5.8S rRNA) is a component of the large subunit of the eukaryotic ribosome. It is transcribed by RNA polymerase I as part of the 45S precursor that also contains 18S and 28S rRNA.
Source: RNAcentral
CAAACGACUCUCGGCAACGGAUAUCUCGGCUCACGCAUCGAUGAAGAACGYAGCAAAAUGCGAUACUUGGUGUGAAUUGCAGAAUCCCGUGAACCAUCGAGUUUUUGAACGCAAGUUGCGCCCAAAGCCACUCGGCUGAGGGCACGCCUGCCUGGGCGUCACGC